This 328-nucleotide unclassified non-coding RNA is filed under the name Agrocybe praecox. RNAcentral describes it as "partial internal transcribed spacer region". The stretch from base 1 to 46 matches the Rfam family "Eukaryotic small subunit ribosomal RNA", at positions 1786 to 1831 of the family's 1831-position model. The record is from RNAcentral. Lineage: Eukaryota; Fungi; Basidiomycota; Agaricomycetes; Agaricales; Agrocybaceae.
AAGUCGUAACAAGGUUUCCGUAGGUGAACCUGCGGAAGGAUCAUUAUUGAAUAAAACUGGCGUGGUUGUAGCUGGCCCUCUUGGGGGCAUCAUGUGCUCGCCCGUCAACUUUAUAUCUCCACCUGUGCACCCUUUGUAGACCUGGACGAUAACUUUUCCCGAGUGCAAACUCGGGUCGGGAGGACUGCUGGCUUUCACGAGUCGGCUUUCCUUGUAUUAUCCAGGCUCUAUGUUAUUCACAUACCCCAAAGAAUGUAACAGAAUGUAUCAUUAUGGCCUUGUGCCUAUAAACUAUAUACAACUUUCAGCAACGGAUCUCUUGGCUCUC